AUUCCCGGGCAACCGCAUAAACGAAUUGUUUCUAUUGGACUGGAUAGGUUUCUCGGGUAGCCUACUCCCGCUGUAAAUAUACAGUCAUUUUCGUUCGACUUCUCACAUUGCCAUCGGUUACUGUUAGCGAAAAGAGAUUCUAAAAAAGUCAAUAUUAAAUCAAAACGACUUUAACUUUGAUUUUUUAAUGUUUUGUAUUUGGCUAGUUUUUUUUUUUUUUCCAACACACAUACAGUACCUGUUGCAGCAAGGGGUUCUGCAGAUCCACAAGAGUCGUCAGGAUGAAUACCUAUAAUUUGGAAAUCAUUGUUAACACCCGCCCCAGGAAAAAAACCUUUUUAAAUAAAAAAAAUCAUAGGAGUAUAAUAAGCCUGCUUUUUGUUAAAUGGAAACAUUUAUUUUGUAUAUACCAGUACAAAUAGAGUUUUGACAGGUACCAAAUCCAGAAAGACAAUCUUCCUUUUUAAAACAGUGAAGAGGUUUUUUUUUUCGCCUCGUAUCAAGUUGGUUGAAAGUGUUGUCCGUCAGUGGGGGUAAACUACUUUCUUCACUGAUUUCUUGUAAAUACCUUGGUUUGGUUAAAGGCUUGCAUGGCGUCAUUUUCUUUUUUUUUAUAACAUGGUGCAUAUCGUUGAGUAUAGCUUGUAUGGUAUUAACAAGAUGAGAAAAAAAUGGAAUGCUUCUUAUAUGAAAUGAUCGCUUAAAAACUGUAUUAACCAGAAAAGGGUGCUCAUACAAUUUUAAGUGAUAGGUAAGAAAAAGCUGUUUGAACGCAUAAUGUAGCUUUAAUAGUCUGCGAUAACUCUUCACAAGUCGAGCUGAAUGGAUGUUUCUUAUAAAACAAGAGUCCUUGAUUUGACUGGUUAACCGUAAAGUGUUUCUGGAAAAGAAAGUAACACAUUUUUCCUUCCAUGUUUGGGUGUGACUUUUAAAACACCAGAAACAUGGGAUGUCGUGAGAAAAUUUGUAGUGCCUAUCCAAUGACGCAUGAAUCAAACAAUCUUUUAAGAAUGUUUUUUUCGCCGUCCAUACGUCCUCCAAACUGUUUUCUAUAUGUGAAGCAUCUACAAAUAACUUUUUUUUUCUACAGACCUGAACAUAAAACGCAACACUUAUUUGAGGAGCGUUACCAAAGUUUAAAUGAAAACUACAAAGAGUACAAAGAACGCAUUACUGAUACUAGAAAUAUUUUUUACGAUUGUAU
Molecule: long non-coding RNA, 1204 nt
Organism: Hylaeus volcanicus
Lineage: Eukaryota; Metazoa; Arthropoda; Insecta; Hymenoptera; Colletidae
Exons: 3
Source: RefSeq, a predicted model, not a curated record